Molecule: ribosomal RNA, 548 nt
Filed under: uncultured beta proteobacterium
Lineage: Bacteria; Pseudomonadati; Pseudomonadota; Betaproteobacteria
Description: bacterial SSU rRNA
Rfam family: Bacterial small subunit ribosomal RNA
Source: RNAcentral
GGGAGCUCUCCCAUAUGGUCGACCUGCAGGCGGCCGCGAAUUCACUAGUGAUUAGAGUUUGAUCAUGGCUCAGAUUGAACGCUGGCGGCAUGCCUUACACAUGCAAGUCGAACGGCAGCACGGGAGCAAUCCUGGUGGCGAGUGGCGAACGGGUGAGUAAUACAUCGGAACGUGUCCUGGAGUGGGGGAUAGCCCGGCGAAAGCCGGAUUAAUACCGCAUACGCUCUGUGGAGGAAAGGGGGGGAUCUUCGGACCUCUCGCUCAAGGGGCGGCCGAUGGCAGAUUAGCUAGUUGGUGGGGUAAAGGCCUACCAAGGCGACGAUCUGUAGCUGGUCUGAGAGGACGACCAGCCACACUGGGACUGAGACACGGUCCAGACUCCUACGGGAGGCAGCAGUGGGGAAUUUUGGACAAUGGGCGCAAGCCUGAUCCAGCAAUGCCGCGUGAGUGAGGAAGGCCUUCGGGUUGUAAAGCUCUUUUGUCAGGGAAGAAACGGUGCGGACUAAUAAUCUGCGCUAAUGACGGUACCUGAAGAAUAAGCACCGGCU